This 91-nucleotide transfer RNA is filed under the name alpha proteobacterium AAP81b. It matches the Rfam family "tRNA". Rfam says of the family: Transfer RNA (tRNA) molecules are approximately 80 nucleotides in length. Their secondary structure includes four short double-helical elements and three loops (D, anti-codon, and T loops). The record is from Rfam by way of RNAcentral. Lineage: Bacteria; Pseudomonadati; Pseudomonadota; Alphaproteobacteria.
GGCCCUGUAGCUCAACGGUAGAGCGAGCGUUUUAUAAACGCUGUGAGCGGCAGAUUACCGCGCGAUCCCGGUUCGAAUCCGGGCAGGGCUA